This 494-nucleotide ribosomal RNA is filed under the name uncultured bacterium. RNAcentral describes it as "partial 16S ribosomal RNA". It matches the Rfam family "Bacterial small subunit ribosomal RNA", at positions 28 to 507 of the family's 1533-position model. The record is from RNAcentral.
GACGAACGCUGGCGGCGUGCUUAACACAUGCCAGCCGAACGGUGAAGCGCCUUCCUUUUUGGUGGGUGUGGAUGAGUGGCGAACGGGUGAGUAACACGUGAGUAACCUGCCCCCUUCUUCUGGAUAACCGCAUGAAAGUGUGGCUAAUACGGGAUAUUCUGGGUCUGUCGCAUGAUGGGUCUGGGAAAGAUAUUGUUUCGGUGGGGGAUGGGCUCGCGGCCUAUCAGCUUGUUGGUGGGGUGAUGGCCUACCAAGGCGGUGACGGGUAGCCGGCCUGAGAGGGUGGACGGUCACACUGGGACUGAGACACGGCCCAGACUCCUACGGGAGGCAGCAGUGGGGAAUAUUGCACAAUGGGCGCAAGCCUGAUGCAGCGACGCCGCGUGAGGGAUGGAGGCCUUCGGGUUGUGAACCUCUUUCGCCAGUGAAGCAGGCCUGCCUCGUUUGUGGGUGGGUUGACGGUAGCUGGAUAAGAAGCGCCGGCUAACUACGUG